GAUGAACGCUGGCGGCGUGCUUAACACAUGCAAGUCGAACGAUGAAGCUCAGCUUGCUGGGUGGAUUAGUGGCGAACGGGUGAGUAACACGUGAGUAACCUGCCCUUAACUCUGGGAUAAGCCUGGGAAACUAGGUCUAAUACCGGAUAGGAGCGCCUACCGCAUGGUGGGUGUUGGAAAGAUUUAUCGGUUUUGGAUGGACUCGCGGCCUAUCAGCUUGUUGGUGAGGUAAUGGCUCACCAAGGCGACGACGGGUAGCCGGCCUGAGAGGGUGACCGGCCACACUGGGACUGAGACACGGCCCAGACUCCUACGGGAGGCAGCAGUGGAGAAUAUUGCACAAUGGGCGAAAGCCUGAUGCAGCGACGCCGCGUGAGGGAUGACGGCCUUCGGGUUGUAAACCUCUUUCAGUAGGGAAGAAGCGAAAGUGACGGUACCUGCAGAAGAAGCACCGGCUAACUACGUG
RNAcentral lists this ribosomal RNA (466 nucleotides) under uncultured bacterium. Its description in RNAcentral is "partial 16S ribosomal RNA". It matches the Rfam family "Bacterial small subunit ribosomal RNA", at positions 28 to 507 of the family's 1533-position model. The record is from RNAcentral.